This 353-nucleotide ribosomal RNA is filed under the name uncultured eukaryote. RNAcentral's name for it is "SSU rRNA". It matches the Rfam family "Eukaryotic small subunit ribosomal RNA", at positions 594 to 945 of the family's 1831-position model. The record is from RNAcentral.
AUAGCGUAUAUUAAAGUUGUUGCAGUUAAAAAGCUCGUAGUUGAAUUUCGGGAUUGGCACAUCGGUCGUGCCUUAAGGGGUAUGAACUGGUGUAGUCAAUUUCUCACCUUCUGGAGAACCGCGAUGUCCUUAAUUGGGUGUCGCGGGGAACCAGGACCUUUACUUUGAAAAAAUUAGAGUGUUUAAAGCAGGCAUUUUGCUUGAAUACAUUAGCAUGGAAUAAUAAAAUAGGACGGCAUGAUUCUAUUUUGUUGGUUUCUAGGAUCACCGUAAUGAUUAAUAGGGAUAGUUGGGGGCAUUAGUAUUCAAUUGUCAGAGGUGAAAUUCUUGGAUCGCCGUAAGACGAACUACUG